CCUACGGGAGGCAGCAGUGGGGAAUCUUGCGCAAUGGGCGAAAGCCUGACGCAGCAACGCCGCGUGCGGGAAGAAGGCUUUCGGGCUGUAAACCGCUUUCAGCAGGAACGAAAAUGACGGUACCUGCAGAAGAAGGAGCGGCCAACUAUGUGCCAGCAGCCGCGGUGAUACAUAGGCUUCAAGCGUUGUCCGGAUUUAUUGGGCGUAAAGAGUUCGUAGGCGGUCGAGUAAGUCGGGUGUGAAAAUUCUGGGCUCAACCCAGAGACGCCACCCGAUACUGCUUGACUUGAGUUCGAUAGGGGAGUGGGGAAUUCCUAGUGUAGCGGUGAAAUGCGCAGAUAUUAGGAGGAACACCGGUGGCGAAGGCGCCACUCUGGAUCGAUACUGACGCUGAGGAACGAAAGCAUGGGUAGCAAACAGGAUUAGAUACCCUGGUAGUCCAUGCCGUAAACGGUGGGCACUAGGUGUGGGUUUCUAUUAACGAAAUCCGCGCCGUCGCUAACGCAUUAAGUGCCCCGCCUGGGGAGUACGGUCGCAAGACUAAAACUUAAAGGAAUUGACGG
RNAcentral lists this ribosomal RNA (563 nucleotides) under uncultured bacterium. Its description in RNAcentral is "bacterial SSU rRNA". It matches the Rfam family "Bacterial small subunit ribosomal RNA", at positions 338 to 916 of the family's 1533-position model. The record is from RNAcentral.